RNAcentral lists this ribosomal RNA (495 nucleotides) under uncultured bacterium. RNAcentral describes it as "partial 16S ribosomal RNA". It matches the Rfam family "Bacterial small subunit ribosomal RNA", at positions 28 to 507 of the family's 1533-position model. The record is from RNAcentral.
GACGAACGCUGGCGGCGUGCCUAAUACAUGCAAGUAGAACGCUGAAGGAGGAGCUUGCUUCUCUGGAUGAGUUGCGAACGGGUGAGUAACGCGUAGGUAACCUGCCUGGUAGCGGGGGAUAUCUAUUGGAAACGAUAGCUAAUACCGCAUAAUAGCAGUUGUUGCAUGACAACUGUUUGAAAGGUGCAAUUGCACCACUACCAGAUGGACCUGCGUUGUAUUAGCUAGUUGGUGGGGUAACGGCUCACCAAGGCGACGAUACAUAGCCGACCUGAGAGGGUGAUCGGCCAAACUGGGAAUGAGACACGGCCCAGAAUCCUACGGGAAGCAGCAAUAGGGAAUCUUCGGCAAUGGGCGGAAGUCUGACCGAGCAACGCCGCGUGAGUGAAGAAGGUUUUCGGAUCGUAAAGAUCUGUUGUAAGAGAAGAACGAGUGUGAGAGUGGAAAGUUCACACUGUGACGGUAUCUUACCAGAAAGGGACGGCUAACUACGUG